AUAAGUAUUGAGGAAGAUUUAGAUUUUCUUGAGCAACUUGAAGAAGAUUUGGCUAAACUUGGAAAAGAACUUUGCAUUGAUGACAUGUAAAAUUGGAGGUUUCCUUCACUAACUCUACUAAAGGAGAAGGAAGAUUUCAUCAUGCCUCGAUUUCAUGGUUCUAAUGCUCGAUCACCUGUUUGGAAUCACUAUGAAAAGCUUGAAGAAAAAGAAGAUGGAUCGUGGACAGUAAAAUGUGUUCA
Solanum tuberosum (potato) is the source of this 242-nucleotide long non-coding RNA. RefSeq lists it as uncharacterized. The transcript is spliced from 3 exons. The record is from RefSeq and is a predicted model, not a curated record. NCBI's taxonomy places the organism in Eukaryota, Viridiplantae, Streptophyta, Magnoliopsida, Solanales, Solanaceae.